GAUGAACGCUGACAGAAUGCUUAACACAUGCAAGUCAACUUGAAUUUGGGUUUUUAACUUAGAUUUGGGUGGUGGACGGGUGAGUAACGCGUAAAGAACUUGCCUCACAGCUAGGGACAACAUUUAGAAAUGAAUGCUAAUACCUGAUAUUAUGAUUUUAAGGCAUCUUAGAAUUAUGAAAGCUAUAAGCACUGUGAGAGAGCUUUGCGUCCCAUUAGCUAGUUGGAGAGGUAACAGCUCACCAAGGCGAUGAUGGGUAGCCGGCCUGAGAGGGUGAACGGCCACAAGGGGACUGAGACACGGCCCUUACUCCUACGGGAGGCAGCAGUGGGGAAUAUUGGACAAUGGACCGAGAGUCUGAUCCAGCAAUUCUGUGUGCACGAUGAAGUUUUUCGGAAUGUAAAGUGCUUUCAGUUGGGAAGAAAGAAAUGACGGUACCAACAGAAGAAGUGACGGCUAAAUACGUGCCAGCAGCCGCGGUAAUACGUAUGUCACGAGCGUUAUCCGGAUUUAUUGGGCGUAAAGCGCGUCUAGGUGGUUAUGUAAGUCUGAUGUGAAAAUGCAGGGCUCAACUCUGUAUUGCGUUGGAAACUGUAUAACUAGAGUACUGGAGAGGUAAGCGGAACUACAAGUGUAGAGGUGAAAUUCGUAGAUAUUUGUAGGAAUGCCGAUGGGGAAGCCAGCUUACUGGACAGAUACUGACGCUAAAGCGCGAAAGCGUGGGUAGCAAACAGG
RNAcentral lists this ribosomal RNA (735 nucleotides) under uncultured Fusobacterium sp. Its description in RNAcentral is "bacterial SSU rRNA". It matches the Rfam family "Bacterial small subunit ribosomal RNA", at positions 28 to 776 of the family's 1533-position model. Lineage: Bacteria; Fusobacteriati; Fusobacteriota; Fusobacteriia; Fusobacteriales; Fusobacteriaceae. The record is from RNAcentral.